Molecule: long non-coding RNA, 2869 nt
Organism: Neofelis nebulosa (Clouded leopard)
Lineage: Eukaryota; Metazoa; Chordata; Mammalia; Carnivora; Felidae
Exons: 2
Source: RefSeq, a predicted model, not a curated record
CCCCCAGGACCGCACGCAGCAUGUGGCCUUAUUUGCACAUCCGGUGUGGUUGGAGUCCUCCUGAGAAGGGGCGGCCAGGACACAGAUGCAUACAGAGAAGAUGAUGUGAAGACAGAGAAGACGAGCAUCCAGGCCAGGAGACAGGCCUGGGACCCAUGCUUCUCCCACGGCCUUCGGAUGGAGCCCGCCUUGCUGACACCUCAGUUUUGCACUCCAUCUUGCCACAGGCUUGGACUGGCCCACGCUCCUGGGCAUCCUGUGUGGUUACCCAUGCACUCCACCCCCACCCUCCGACCCUGUCCAUGGCUCUUCCCAUGCUCUGGAGCCCCUCCCCAGCUAGGCCCUACUCCUUUCCAGGAUGAUGCUCUCAGGACCACGCUUUGCCCAUCCCUGUGAGCCCUUACGUCCCUUGUGGGGUUUUGCUCUUUCAUUCAUGUGACAAGCAGAAGUGACACUGCAGCUGGGUUCUUGCUCCUUCCAUUUCUGUGUCUUAUGGCUGAGAAAUCCCCAGGGUGGGACAACCCAGUAAUUCCGAAUCAAAGCUCUGCUGGCAAGCAUUACUCAUGUUGUCUCUGACCGCACACUUUGGGACCCACUGGGCCCACUCUUGGUCUGUUCCCAUCCAGGCUCCUCGUGGCACAGUUGUCCUGUGCAUGAAGGCUGAAGCCAAGGCUGAGGCAGGAUGGGGCAAACUCAGAGGGCUGUGGGGUGGGGCCUGGUAAGCCUGCUAGUGGGGCUUGAGAGGCCAUAGCAGUGGGCAUCAGUCAUCAGAUGGCACAGGUUGCCGGAAGGACAGGGUCAGGGAAGGAAAGCAUAGUGUAGGUCAAGAGCAAGGAAAGCAAAGUCUGGAGGUGCUGAAAUGUUCACAGAGUCCCAGAGGGGUAGGCGGUGAGCUGUGGUAGAAGAGGGGGGCAGGCUGAAGGCUCAGGAGGGAGAGGCCUGAUGCCAGCCUGGCGGUGGCCCUGCUUCCUCAGCUUUCCUGGGAUUCACACGUGAUGUUCGUACACUGGCUUCCUGUACUUUUGGGGAGGCAUCUUGGGAUGAAGCAAGAGUGGGCAGGGAGAAGUGGAUGGCUGCCAUGCAGGCCAGCUGCACGGGGAGCGCUGGGCCAGAGUGGCCUUCAGAGAUAUCCCUGGCUAGGUGAGGGGGAGAGAUGGCCUUGCCUCCACCAGCCGCAGGAGGGCGGGACCUCAGACCAGGCUGCUGUCUGCAGCUGUGUCCACCUUGCAGUGGCUGACAGCACCCAGCAGCCUAGAGACCAUUUGGGGUGUCCUGCCUCUGCCCCUGAUCCUGCCAUCCCCUUAUCUGCUGUGCCCUCCACUUUCCAGCCCCCAGUACACAGGGGUCCCCAGGGAUACUUGUCUGGCAUCUUACUCUUCCCCUUGGGCCCUGCCUCUCUCCAGAGGUGCCCCAGGCAGAGGCCUCUGGUGCCUGCUUAGCUGUGUGGGACCAGUAAUCUGAUGGCAGUGCUUGGUGCUGUAACAGCUUCUGUGGGCUCUGCUGGUCCUGCCCUGCUUACCCAGGAGCACAGUCCCUUCUGCUGGGCACCACCAUGAGUAAGACAUACUCUUUGCUCUGGUCAUUGCUCAGCGUGUCCUCCCAGCCCUUGGUGCCACCGCCGUCGAGACCCGUGUCUUCUGCCUAUCAUACCUGUGGUGACUGCAUUCUUUCCCUUGCCCCUUCCUCAGGGUGUCCACUGCCCUAGGUCGCUGGGGUCAGGGCUGCUUCUCUCCCUCCACCUGAGAUAAGUGACCAGUGGAGGGUGCUUGAACCAGGAACCUAUCCAUGGCCGACCAGAGACUUAGGCCCCAGGGAAAGCUACCAAGGGCUUGGGCUGGGCCAGUCAGGUUCCGGAGUGGACACUGAACUGAAGAAGCCAACAGAGCCUGUGCUGAGAAAGGGACCGAGAGUGGGCUGUUGUGGUUCUGGUAGGUGGCUUGGCAGGAGAGGAGAUGCACAGAGAGGGAGAGACACCCAGGGGCCGGGGAGUGCCCACCUCAGGGAGCCCCCCUCCCAGGGCCUGUAUGUGCUUUCCAGAAGGGCAUUCCAGACCUUUCCCCAAGGCAGCCUUGGUUUUCUCUCAAAUUGGUAACCAGCUUUUUGUCAGGUACAGCUCUUGCACAGUCCCUGCAUGGCUGGCCUGGGCCAGCCCUCUGUGGAGGGAGUGAGGAGAGUAGGGGAGAGGGGGGCCGAGGGAGAGCUCAGGCUGGGGAGACACCGCCUCUGAACACCCAGCCCUCUUCAGGCUGGAGCUGGGAGCAGGCCCGGAGCAGUUGGGAGGUCCUGCAGAGGGGGGAUUCCUGAGCCUCCUCUUGGGACAGGGCCAGCGGGAUGCUGGGUGACAGGCUUUAACAAAGGCAGGGCUUCGAGCAAGGAGGCCAGGUGGGAAUGUGCCUUGGGCACGCUUGGACAAGCAGACCACGAUUCUCACCCAGAAAGAGGCCCUGCAGCCUUUUCUGUGUGGCCUGAAAUUGGCAACUACCUCACGUCCACAUUGGGGGAAUGGCCAUCUAAAUUAUGGAGCGAUUAGAAUGAAUGCCAUGCAGCCAUUACAUGGUUUACUCAACACAUGAAUUAACACUAUAAAGUGCUUGCAAUGUGACCCCGAGUAUGAAAACCAGGCUACAAAAUCAUACCCCAUCCUGGCAAUUUUGCUUUGUGAACAAACAGAAGCUAAGCACAGAGAAAAGCCUGGAAGGAAAUAUAUGAAUAUGUCAACGGAGGAAUAUCAAAGCCGAGGCCUGCUGGGUGAGCCUGUGGCACGCUGGACCCUUGGCAUUCAGGAGGGCAUGUGGACAGACACAAGCUUUGGAACCAGGCAGACCAGUGAUCAAGUCAUACACACUAGUGAAUGACCUUUAGAAAGCCA